UCACUUUGGGACCUGAAUGUUCUACAUAUUAUUAUAAGAUAACUUUUCUGUGCAUCAGAGGACAUACGCUACUGUUCUUAGAAAUAUAGAAAUAAUGCAGUUAUUAAGAACUGAUUCAAGUGAGAAUCAACUGACAUGAUAAUGCAUAGGGGUGCACUCACUCAUGCUGUGAACGGUACAUACUUUAUCGGCAUAUUUAUUAGCAGCAGACGGAGCAGGUUUAACAAGGGUAAACAUGUUCAGACUGGUGUCAGUAGAGGUGAUUUUUCUAUUUUUCAUCCUGCAGGUGGAGACCAUGCAUGACUUUGAAGCUGCAAAUUCAGAUGAACUGGAACUGAAGAGAGGUGACGUGGUGUUGGUGCUUCCCACUGCUUCAGUAGAGGAUCAGGAUGCUGGCUGGCUCACAGGGAUCAAAGAAAGUGACUGGUUAACCCUUGGAGUUGGUGCUCAAAAAGGACUUUUCCCAGAGAACUUUACCCAGCGUUUAGACUAAGAAGUUUCUUCAUGUGUUGGAAAAAUAAGUAGAAAUCUUCGUCCAAGCCAUUGAGUCAGCAUGUAGCCAACCACUUUCCUGAAAAAACCUUUUAACCUGCUGCAGCUGUCUGCUGGACAACAUGAAGCUCUACUAAAACUAACAGUCAUGUUAAUAAAAUCUAGUACUCCUCCCAGCAUAACUGAUCAUUAUAAGCAUGAUGCGUAGUAUGUUCUACCCUCCUCUGAAAGUGAGACAUAAUUUUUGUUCAAAGAAAAAUAUUGAUGUGUGGUUUAUUGGGAAUGUUGCAAUCUGUACAUAUUCACUCCAACUGAAAGUCUGACAAUUGUUGCUGAAGAAAACAAAUCAACAAAAAGAGACAAACUGUAUCAACUUUGCACCAAGUGUGUUGUAAUGAAUUUGUUGCUUUUCUGUGGUUUAACAGAAACUAGUGCUGUGAUCUAUUUAAAUGUUCUUGAGUGUAACAUGAAAUUUGUUUUUCGGACAUGUCAUUGCUGUUAAUCUUGAAUCGCUUUUGGUGUGUUCUGUAGUAUCAUUGUUGAGUGUGUGUGAUGAUUGGUCUUUUCUUUGUCAUUUGUGGUGAAGAAUUGAUGCCGUGAAGAGUGUUGCUGUGUUUUUGCCAAGAGAAUCCUGACAUCUAUUAUCUGUUACAGUCGUCACAUAUCUGAGCAUUGGAAAACAAACUAGUGCUCACCCAGCAUGAAACUGUUGACUAAAUCUUUUAAUAAAGUACAUAUUCCGAGAUGAAAAAUAAAAUAUCUCCACUAUUAAAAUAGA
Molecule: long non-coding RNA, 1270 nt
Organism: Amphiprion ocellaris (clown anemonefish)
Lineage: Eukaryota; Metazoa; Chordata; Actinopteri; Pomacentridae
Exons: 2
Source: RefSeq, a predicted model, not a curated record